AGUUGAGCGAUUUACUUCGGUAAGAGCGGCGGACGGGUGAGUAACGCGUGGGUAACCUACCCUGUACACACGGAUAACAUACCGAAAGGUAUGCUAAUACGGGAUAAUAUAUUUGAGAGGCAUCUCUUGAAUAUCAAAGGUGAGCCAGUACAGGAUGGACCCGCGUCUGAUUAGCUAGUUGGUAAGGUAACGGCUUACCAAGGCGACGAUCAGUAGCCGACCUGAGAGGGUGAUCGGCCACAUUGGAACUGAGACACGGUCCAAACUCCUACGGGAGGCAGCAGUGGGGAAUAUUGCACAAUGGGCGAAAGCCUGAUGCAGCAACGCCGCGUGAGUGAUGAAGGCCUUCGGGUCGUAAAACUCUGUCCUCAAGGAAGAUAAUGACGGUACUUGAGGAGGAAGCCCCGGCUAACUACGUGCCAGCAGCCGCGGUAAUACGUAGGGGGCUAGCGUUAUCCGGAUUUACUGGGCGUAAAGGGUGCGUAGGCGGUCUUUCAAGUCAGGAGUGAAAGGCUACGGCUCAACCGUAGUAAGCUCUUGAAACUGGGAGACUUGAGUGCAGGAGAGGAGAGUGGAAUUCCUAGUGUAGCGGUGAAAUGCGUAGAUAUUAGGAGGAACACCAGUUGCGAAGGCGGCUCUCUGGACUGUAACU
This 652-nucleotide ribosomal RNA is filed under the name uncultured bacterium. RNAcentral describes it as "bacterial SSU rRNA". It matches the Rfam family "Bacterial small subunit ribosomal RNA", at positions 60 to 741 of the family's 1533-position model. The record is from RNAcentral.